CUCUUCUUGUUUUGAUAAUUUGAAGUAUAACCUGCCCACUGAAUUAUAUUUAUUGAAGGGCCGCGGUAUUUUGACCGUGCAAAGGUAGCAUAAUCAUUAGUCUUUUAAUUGAAGACUGGAAUGAAUGGUUGGACGAGGAAUAUACUGUUUCUUAUUUAGUUAUUGAAUUUAAAUUUUAAGUUAAAAUUCUUAAAUAUUAUUAUGGGACGAGAAGACCCUAUAGAGUUUAAUAAAUUGUUUUUAUUUUGGUUUGUAUUUUAAUUUUUGUUUAAAUUUAAGGUUUAUUUUGUUGGGGUGAUAAAAAGGGUUAUAAAGCUCUUUUUUUAAUUUAUAUAUUUAUUUAUAAUUUUUUGAUCCUAUUUUGUUGAUUAUAAGACUAAAUUACCUUAGGGAUAACAGCGUAA
This 404-nucleotide ribosomal RNA is filed under the name Eppertia aptera. RNAcentral describes it as "partial large subunit ribosomal RNA". Lineage: Eukaryota; Metazoa; Arthropoda; Insecta; Blattodea; Blattidae. The record is from RNAcentral.